Setaria italica (foxtail millet) is the source of this 1168-nucleotide long non-coding RNA. RefSeq lists it as uncharacterized. The transcript is spliced from 3 exons. The record is from RefSeq and is a predicted model, not a curated record. Lineage: Eukaryota; Viridiplantae; Streptophyta; Magnoliopsida; Poales; Poaceae.
AAAAUCAAAAACUGGUACAGUUAGGAUCAGCUUUGCAGACAGUAACUUAGGCCAUCAUUUGCCAUAAUUAUUUUAAGAGACUGAAUGAAAGGUGCAUAUAAUGUAUUCUCUUAUUUAAAUGUGCAUGGUUACUGAGUUGCAGGCAAGUGGUGGUAUUCUGCCUGUAAACUGCUCUGUUGGUUAUUCCUGAAAUGUAACAGCCUUGUUGUUUCACAAACAAUGAAGGCUUAUGAUUGGAUGGUUGCGCUUGAAUGCAUCAAGUGUUUUAUGCUAGAAACUUUUGCUAUCGCUACACUGCAUUUGAUAAUUGCUGAUUGUGUUCUGUAAUAUUUUUAUGGCGCAACGGUGGAUCAAUGAGCAUGUUGACAUAUCCAGUGCUGAUGCUCUCAACGAACCUCUACUUGGCUCCAGCCAUGACAACAGUGGAUCAGAGGUUUAUGAUCCUAGAAGGCAGGACUUGUGGGAUGCUGAUAGAAAGAAGGAGCAACUGCACUGGUCAUUUCUUUUCUGAAAUCUGAUUGCACAAUGGGCACAAAGGUUGGAUGAGAUUGAACUUACUGGAUUGAAUGGGAGAGAUGUAAUUGGAUCAAUUAGCGCAGGUGGUGCAUGCUCCUUCUGUUGCGCUGGUGGUGUAUGGUCCUGCUCUUGUGUGUCACGAUUGAUGGGUGUCACCGAAGAAGUAGAUCCGUCCACAUCCAUGGUGGCUGAACUGCCGCUGCCUGCUGCCUUCCUGCCGUCCACAUCCAUGAAGCAAGAUUGUUUUUAUUAUCUAACGUGUAGAGUUUUAUUAGAUUAGGCCUCACGUGAAGAGUUUUAUUAAAUUAGGCCUCACGUGAAGAGUUUGUUUAAAUUAGGCCUCACGUGAAGAGUUUGUAAGCUAAUACACGUGAAGAGUUUGUAAGCUAAUACAUGUGAACUCAUGCGUGCCAGAUGGCAUAUGGUAGGUCGUUGAGUCGGCGUUUCUGAAUUUCUGGCCGGUUCUGAAUUUCUGGAAGAUGUGAACCAGUGCAAUCGGCAAGUCAUACAUAUGCCUUUAUAUAGUGCUUGCUUAGUUUGUAUCAGGUUUUCUGAACCAUUGUUGCCAAGUGAGUACGGAGAAGACGUGCACCUUGUCGUAUACUUUGUAUCAAUAAGUUUGAUGAUAAGUUCAAAUUUAUCAGUCCAAGAA